RNAcentral lists this ribosomal RNA (403 nucleotides) under uncultured bacterium. Its description in RNAcentral is "partial 16S ribosomal RNA". It matches the Rfam family "Bacterial small subunit ribosomal RNA", at positions 28 to 526 of the family's 1533-position model. The record is from RNAcentral.
GACGAACGCUGGCGGCGUGCCUAAUACAUGCAAGUCGAACGCAGUGGGGACGGGUGAGUAACACGUGGGUAACCUCCCAUCAGAGGGGAUAACACUUGGAAACAGGUGCUAAACCGAUACUGAUGGAUGGACCCGCGGUGCAUUAGCUAGUGGGUGAGGUAACGGCUCACCAAGGCCACGAUGCAUAGCCGGCCUGGGAGGGUGAUCGGCAACACUGGGACGGAGACACGGCCCAGCCUCCUAGGGGGGGCAGCAGUGGGGAAUUUCCGGCAAUGGACGAAAGUCGGAACGAGCAACUCCGCGGGAGUGAAGAAGGUUUUCGGAUCGUAAACCUCUUUUGUUAGAGAAGCGGUAUCUAACCAGAAAGCCACGGCUAACUACGUGCCAGCAGCCGCGGUAAUAC